GCCGGAAUAGCUCAGUCGGUAGAGCGCGUCACUCGUAAUGACGAGGUCCGGGGUUCGAUUCCCCGUUCCGGCUCCA
RNAcentral lists this transfer RNA (76 nucleotides) under Candidatus Hydrogenedentota bacterium. RNAcentral describes it as "tRNA-Thr". It matches the Rfam family "tRNA". Rfam says of the family: Transfer RNA (tRNA) molecules are approximately 80 nucleotides in length. Their secondary structure includes four short double-helical elements and three loops (D, anti-codon, and T loops). Further hydrogen bonds mediate the characteristic L-shaped molecular structure. tRNAs have two regions of fundamental functional importance: the anti-codon, which is responsible for specific mRNA codon recognition, and the 3' end, to which the tRNAs corresponding amino acid is attached (by aminoacyl-tRNA synthetases). tRNAs cope with the degeneracy of the genetic code in two manners: having more than one tRNA (with a specific anti-codon) for a particular amino acid; and 'wobble' base-pairing, i.e. permitting non-standard base-pairing at the 3rd anti-codon position. Lineage: Bacteria; Pseudomonadati; Candidatus Hydrogenedentota. The record is from RNAcentral.